UUCUUUUCCUGAGGACUUUUAUUCUAUUCCACUUCCUGAUCAGGUAAAAAGUGUUCUGGGAAACCCUGCCUUCCUUAUUAUUUUCUUUAAGUUCUCUCCUUUUCUCCAACAUAGAAUUUAUGGAAAUUGGAGUGCCUGCAAGAAGGGAGACUUGCCUCUGAUCCCCUGGCCAGAGGCUUAACAAGCCAGACUAAAGAGUGGUGGGAGAAUUUUUUAGAAUACUUGACAUGAAUUCUCUGGAGUUUGGGGAAUACAAGCACACAGGGCCUGCUGCCAACUUUUGUUCUGGAGCGUUCUGAAAGAGGAAGGUCCAGUGGAGAGUUCACUCUGCAUCAGCAAGUAUUUUUUUGUUUGUUUUUGUUUUUUGAGAUGGAGUUUCGCUUUUGUUGCCCAGGCUGGAGUGCAAUGGUACAAUCUCGGCUCACUGCAACCUCCACCUCCUGGGUUCAAGUGAUUCUCCUGCCUCAGCCUCCCAAGUAGCUGGAAUUAUAGGUGCCCGCCAACACGCCCAGUUAAUUUUUGUACUUUUAGUAGAGACGGGGUUUCGCCAUGUUGGCCAGGCUGGUCUUGAACUCCUGGCCUCAAGUUAUCCCCUCACCUCAGCCUCCCAAAGUGCUGGGAUUACAGGCCUGAGCCACUGUGCCCGACCUUCUUUUCUCAGUUUUGAAUUGUUGCAUUGAGAUAUUAAUUCCUUACUUUUCAUUCCUUGUCUCAGGCAUCUCAGAGCUUCGACUGACUGAAUAUAUGCAGAGUCCAAAAUGAGAUAAACAAGCACCUAACCUGAACUUAAGCCGGCAGAUGAGGAUAAGGCUCCCCAGCCUCCCGGAACAAGCAGACAGUUAUUAAUGGAAAUGUUCCACCAGUUCAGGUAUGUGCUAACAUCUGUUAAAAUUGCAUUUGUACAGGAUUGCAUGAAUUACUGAUACAUGAACACAUUGCUUUAGCCAAACACAAGCUUUUAUGAUUUCAUGAUGAGGCUUCCCAGAGUUCUAGGUUAUGACAACCUGACUUUCAAAGUUACACGUUAAAGCAAUCUGUUUGCAUCCCAGGCUGACUGUGCAGAAGAGAUUUGCGGUUGGGACAAUCUGCCAUUUAAAGAGAAUGAGGUCUCUAGUCAUUAAGGGAGACAGAAUCUGUGGCUGGGACUUUUUCUGGGGCAUCCUGAGUAGGUAGCUGUGUGGCCUGUCACAGUGCGGUUUUUCAGAGGAAUGUG
This 1213-nucleotide long non-coding RNA is filed under the name Homo sapiens (human). RNAcentral describes it as "HSALNT0159957". The record is from RNAcentral. Lineage: Eukaryota; Metazoa; Chordata; Mammalia; Primates; Hominidae.